This 253-nucleotide ribosomal RNA is filed under the name uncultured bacterium. RNAcentral's name for it is "partial 16S ribosomal RNA". It matches the Rfam family "Bacterial small subunit ribosomal RNA", at positions 524 to 776 of the family's 1533-position model. The record is from RNAcentral.
UACGUAGGGUGCGAGCGUUGUCCGGAAUUAUUGGGCGUAAAGGGCUCGUAGGCGGUUUGUCGCGUCGGGUGUGAAAACUCAGGGCUUAACCCUGAGCCUGCUCCCGAUACGGGCAGACUAGAGGUAUGCAGGGGAGAACGGAAUUCCUGGUGUAGCGGUGAAAUGCGCAGAUAUCAGGAGGAACACCGGUGGCGAAGGCGGUUCUCUGGGCAUUACCUGACGCUGAGGAGCGAAAGUGUGGGGAGCGAACAGG